RNAcentral lists this ribosomal RNA (585 nucleotides) under Triticum aestivum (bread wheat). Its description in RNAcentral is "partial small subunit ribosomal RNA". Lineage: Eukaryota; Viridiplantae; Streptophyta; Magnoliopsida; Poales; Poaceae. The record is from RNAcentral.
AUGGCAUCCAAGGACCAUGGAGGCGGCGCUCCUCGGAAAGACGGAUCUGACGACGACUGCGGCUGCGGGUCCUGGACGAUGGCACUGCUCCUGUACACAUCCUUCUGGCUGGUCAUGAUGUACCUGCCGCCGAUGGAUUCCUUGCCCGGGAUUCGGGAGCUCGACGGCUCGCCGCCAUGCAACGACGACAAGUCGACCACGUGCUCCGUGGAGCUAGCCGGCGCCAGGGGGCUGGCUCCGGGCGCGACCUCGCCGGCCUUCGACCUCGUCGUGCACGUGGACAACGGCCACAUCUACGAGCUGUGCCAUGGCGGCGGCGACGUCGUCGUGUCCUACGCGGGCGUGCCCCUCGCGCGCGGGCGCACGCCCGGCUUCCGGCUGGCGGCCAAGAGCACGGGGCGGUGGGCGGUGAACGUGACGGGCGCGGGGCUAGGGAUCCCAGCGGAUUUAUCUCGUCUCGUGACGGCGGAACGGAGAUGGGGGGUGGCCCAGCUGGAGAUCGACAUGGCCCUGGCCUGGCAGUCCUUCACGUGCGACGUUUUCGUCGACAGACUACCCGGCGCAUCAGCGUGCAGGCUAGUUUAA